This is a long non-coding RNA of Canis lupus familiaris (dog), 1640 nucleotides long. RefSeq lists it as uncharacterized. Lineage: Eukaryota; Metazoa; Chordata; Mammalia; Carnivora; Canidae. The transcript is spliced from 3 exons. The record is from RefSeq and is a predicted model, not a curated record.
GCGGUGCCCGGCCCGGGGCGGGUGGGGGGUGCCUGCUGGUGGACCCACGCACCCGCUCGUCCUCUUCCCUGACGCUCUCGCGUAGCCCUCGGCUGUCCCGUGAGAGCCACGUGUUCUUUGAGGAGUGGAAGGAGAUGGAAGAGGAAAAGAGGCAGCCCUGCAAGGCCACCUGGACAAGCCAGUGCCUCGGCCCCAAGCUGGUAAAGCCUGCAGAAGGGAACAAGCGCAAGGGUGGGGCACAUGCUGUUUCCAUAGCUGCCCCUCCAUCUACUCCGGGGGCUCUGCGAACACACGAAUUGACACGGACGGGUGAGCGCAUUCGCACAGCAGGCCUCUCCAAUGACAAGCCACACCGGGUACCUUACAGCUUGCAUGUUUAUUGAACAAAUACUACUAAAAUAGCUGAAAUACACUGGGUACUUGUUGUGAGUGCAUCAGUCAAGAUCACAUUGUUUUUUUUACAAAAGCCUGCGUUGUCAGCAGCAUACAACCGCAACUCUACGUAAAUGCCACAGAUGCAGAAUACGGUUUUCUUGCUCUAUUUACACAGCUGAUAGACUUAUUCUAACCAAGGAGGGAGCGGGAAGAUGCACAAGAGACUCAGGUCAAGGGGGGAGCGAGAAGAGUAGGAAGAAGGGCGGUGCAUGCAUCUUGGGGUUAACAGUCAGGAGGGCACAGCGUGGGACCAAGCCUGCCCCGACGGGAAGAGCCAAAGACGAUUAUAUAAAAAUUAAGGUGGGCUUUCAGACUGGCUAACACAACAACAAUCCAUGAGUAGAUGGUAUUGUCUGGUUUUCUUUUUUGUUGAUCCAUUUCAUUGGGAGCAAGGACAAAAAUGUAAAGUCUACACCUUGCUUAUCAAAAACUGCCAGAAAAGAAGUGCUCUGCCUUUUUUUUUUUUUAAUUUUAUAAAGACAUUUUUUUCCAACUUGAUUUUCAGGAAAGGUGCGAAUUUGCAGAUUCCUACUCAAAUGCCAGUUUUUUGGAUUUUUUUUUCCAGAGGGCGUUUAUUUUAAAAGUUGGCCCUCUUUUUCCCCCCGAAUAUCCUUUCAAACAAAAAGAACCAAAAGAGACACCUAAAAACGCCUGUCAAAUUAUUGCUUUUCUUUCUCUAAGCUAGGCAGGCGAGGCUACCAAAAAGAAGAGAUUUGGUAAGUAAAUUACAGUUUUGUGAUUGCUCCCGCGACAGGGACUGCACGUCUGUGAGUGCCCGCCGAUGAGACGCGAGUCUCUUACUCUCUCUGGUAGCAUUCACUCAACCUACAGCGCUGAAGAAGAAAGCCACACUGAAGACACAAGGAGAACAAGUCAAUCCAGUCUAGAGAACAACAUUCAGGGAAACAGAGUACCAACACCUUCUUAGAACAUGGAAAUAAAAUAUAACUCCAUCAGAGCUACCUCGCCAAGGAGCAUGUUGAAAGUCCAAAAUAGCACCAUUCAUCAGUGUCUCAGGUCCUGUGGCAGCAUCUCGGUCACUUACCACAAGGAAACAAUGAGUUUCAAACUACUUCUAUACAUCAAAAGAGUACAUGGAUAAAAUAUAGAGAUAUACAGACAAUCGAUGAACAUAAACUACUAGGCUUGUUACAUCUAAAUGAAAAAAAAAAAAUGGGGACUCUCAGCCUCUGCGAGAAGCAUUC